UGUGGGAGCUGGCUUGCCUGCGAUGCAGCCACCUCGGUUUUUCAGUCAUACCGAGGGGAUGCCAUCGCAGGCAAGCCAGCUCCCACA
This 87-nucleotide non-coding RNA is filed under the name Pseudomonas tolaasii NCPPB 2192. Lineage: Bacteria; Pseudomonadati; Pseudomonadota; Gammaproteobacteria; Pseudomonadales; Pseudomonadaceae. The record is from RNAcentral.